AAUUACCUGCCCUGCAGGUGAUAGGUGAACAUGUUGAUCCGGCAAAUUAGAUCUUUAGGGAGCCAGCGUAUGCUGCUGGUGUGCAUGUUGCCCUUGUGGCAGAAGCCUGAAGGCAGCUUUAUGGCACCCACCUAUCCAAUGGGCGGAUCUGAUUCUUCACUUACACGGCAGGGCGGGACCUUA
RNAcentral lists this non-coding RNA (183 nucleotides) under Nitrospiraceae bacterium. RNAcentral describes it as "6S RNA". It matches the Rfam family "6S / SsrS RNA". Rfam says of the family: E. coli 6S RNA was the first non coding RNA to be sequenced, but its function was unknown until recently. Lineage: Bacteria; Pseudomonadati; Nitrospirota; Nitrospiria; Nitrospirales; Nitrospiraceae. The record is from RNAcentral.